Molecule: transfer RNA, 75 nt
Filed under: Mus musculus (house mouse)
Lineage: Eukaryota; Metazoa; Chordata; Mammalia; Rodentia; Muridae
Description: tRNA-Ser
Source: RNAcentral
GGCUGGAGAGGUGGCUCAACGGUUAAGAGCGCUGACUACUCUUCCAGAGGUCCUGAGUUCAAUUCCCAGUAGCCA